AUCAUGGGAGCGGCCCGGGCUACACGUUAAAAACACUAAGGGGAGCGCGCGAAGCUCAACUUGGCGCUCGACGGGGGCCGUUAGCCGCCCCAGAGCGCGCGGAGCCGCAGAGGCGUAGCUGGACUACAACGCAGUGCAUCUCGGGAGGCCAACUCGACUGGACCGGAGAUGGGAUCUCGCAUGUUGCCACUCGAAUUCCUGGGCUCAAGUGAUCCUCCUGCCCCACCCUCCCAAGUAGCCGGGUGCGGCCAUCAUGCCCAGUGAAUGGUUUAUUUUUGUCCACACUGUUCCUCUGAAGAAGGCAUGGCUCGGUGGAAGCCCUGCAUGAGGUUCUACAGCUGCCUGCUGCCCUGCGCGCCUGCCCGCCCCUCCGCAAGGCCUUGGCGGUAGAUGCUGCCUUCCGAGAGGGCAAUGCUGCCCGCCUGUUCCGUCUGCUCCAGACCCUGCCCUACCUGCCAAGUUGCGCUGUGCAGUGCCAUGUGGGCCAUGCCCGCCGGGAAGCCCUGGCCCGCUUCGCUCGUGCCUUUAGCACCCCCAAGGGCCAGACCUUGCCUCUGGGCUUCAUGGUCAACCUCCUGGCCCUGGAUGGACUCAGGGAAGCACGGGACCUGUGCCAGGCCCACGGGCUGCCCUUGGACGGAGAGGAGAGAGUUGUGUUCCUGAGGGGUCGCUACGUGGAGGAAGGGCUACCGCCUGCCAGUACGUGCAAGGUGUUAGUGGAGAGCAAACUUCGAGGACGUACCCUGGAGGAGGUG
RNAcentral lists this small RNA (755 nucleotides) under Pan troglodytes (chimpanzee). RNAcentral's name for it is "processed transcript". The record is from RNAcentral. Lineage: Eukaryota; Metazoa; Chordata; Mammalia; Primates; Hominidae.